UUUGGGCAAGAAUGAUGAAUCAAUUAGAUGUGUGAAGGAAAGUAUUCCUUUUGAACUCAAACUUUUGAGGCAUAAAUACUUUGUCUGACUUGCCAUUA
Molecule: small nucleolar RNA, 98 nt
Organism: Mangifera indica (mango)
Lineage: Eukaryota; Viridiplantae; Streptophyta; Magnoliopsida; Sapindales; Anacardiaceae
Product: small nucleolar RNA Z266
Exons: 1
Source: RefSeq, a predicted model, not a curated record